UACAGUCAACACCGUGCCAUAAUCUUAAUCACCAUAACAAACAAAUAUGUAACAAAACAAAACAAAAAGGCAUAUGGUCAAAGCACAUUAGCAUAAAUGUAAUACAAAAACACAAAUAUUUUCAAGAACACAAUAACGGGAUGUUUAAGUACAGAGCCACGACACAUGUAACAAAUAAACCCCAAAAGACAUAUAGACAAUGAACGUUAGCAAAAAUGAAAGACAAGAAUACAAAAAUUUACCAUAACACAAUGACGGGAUGUAUAAGUACAUAAAAUCAAGGUUAAAAUAAAACCUGACGCAAUCGCAUAAAAAUGAGCGAAACUGGAUGUGCCGACAAGGUAAGCGUCUCAUACUAUGUAUGCAUAACCUACCAUACAAAUCAACACUCUGUCAAAAUGCCACUGUAUGGAAAAGCUUUUAUAAAAUACAAAACGGUAAAACACAAUAGCCACUUUUUCAGUAAAUUAUACAAACACGUCACUUCACAGAAAAUAUUCGUGUAAUAAAAAAAAUAAAAAAGCGACUAGUGAAAUGUAAAAAAACAAAAAUACAGAGCUCUACUGAAAUUUCAAAACGUAAAGUCCCUUAGCAAUUGCAAAUUCAAAAGCUCAAACAUCAAACGAAAUGAAAAUAACUGCCAUAUUCCUAACUUACGAACAAUUUCAGAUUCAUUACACAAACCAAAUCUAUGCAUAUUUUGCCAUAGUUUCACCACUAAUUAAGCAGGAAGAUGUUGUUCAGUGGUUGUUGUUUGUUGAUGUGGUUCAUAAGAGUUUCUCGUUUCUCUUUUUUUUUAAAUAUAGAUAAGACAGAUGACUUUACAGUAGUCUUUUUUUCGGGCCCUUAAUAGUUUGUUGUUUUGGUGUGAGCUAAGGCUCCGCGUUGAAGGUCGUACUUUGACAUAUAAUGGCUUACUUCUUACGAAUUGUGUCUUAAAUGGAGAGUUGUCUCAUUGGCACUCAUCUUCUUAUAUCUAUGAACACCCCAAGGUGUAUCCACAACAGAACACAAUUUAUAUGCGAUGAUAAAUAAUAUGACAGACUGUUAAAUAUAUUGUCACAUAGUUUGAAAAAAUAAACAAAUUUCCCCCUGAUCAGAUAACAUAUUAACAUCAC
Molecule: long non-coding RNA, 1118 nt
Filed under: Mytilus galloprovincialis (Mediterranean mussel)
Lineage: Eukaryota; Metazoa; Mollusca; Bivalvia; Mytilida; Mytilidae
Source: RNAcentral